AUUGAGCGCUGGCGGCAUGCUUUACACAUGCAAGUCGAACGGUAACAGGUUAAGCUGACGAGUGGCGAACGGGUGAGUAAUGCAUCGGAACGUGCCCGAUCGUGGGGGAUAACGCAGCGAAAGCUGCGCUAAUACCGCAUACGAUCUGAGGAUGAAAGUGGGGGACCGUAAGGCCUCGCUCGAUCGGAGCGGCCGAUGUCAGAUUAGGUAGUUGGUGGGGUAAAGGCUCACCAAGCCGACGACCUGUAGCUGGUCUGAGAGGACGACCAGCCACACUGGGACUGAGACAUGGCCCAGACUCCUACGGGAGGCAGCAGUGGGGAAUUUUGGACAAUGGGCGCAAGCCUGAUCCAGCAAUGCCGCGUGCAGGAAGAAGGCCUUCGGGUUGUAAACUGCUUUUGUACGGAGCGAAAAGGCUCUCUCUAAUACAGGGGGCUCAUGACGGUACCGUAAGAAUAAGCACCGGCUAACUACGUGCCAGCCGCCGCCGUAA
Molecule: ribosomal RNA, 493 nt
Filed under: uncultured bacterium
Lineage: Bacteria
Description: partial 16S ribosomal RNA
Rfam family: Bacterial small subunit ribosomal RNA
Source: RNAcentral